AUGUUAAGUCUGGCCUGCUCAAUGAUUUAUAUUAUUAAAUAGCCGCAGUAUAUUGACUGUGCGAAGGUAGCAUAAUCAUUUGUCUUUUAAUUGAAGGCUUGAAUGAAUGGUUUGAUGAAAUAGUGACUUUCUUUAUAUUAGUUAUUGAAUUUAAUUUUUUAGUUAAAAAGCUUAAAUUUAUAAAUGGGACGAGAAGACCCUAUAGAAUUUUAUUUUUAUUUAUAGUUAUUUUUUAAGGUUUUAAUUUAUUAAUUAUAAAGUAGAAAUUUUGUUGGGGUGACAGUGAGGAUUCUUUAACUCUCAUAUUUAACUAUAUUAUUGAUUGAUAUUUUAAUGAUCCUAUUUUAUGGAUAUUUAGAUUAAAUUACCUUAGGGAUAACAGCGUAAUUUCUUUGGAGAGUUCUUAUCAAUAAAGAAGUUUGCGACCUCGAUGUUGGAUUAAAUUUAGGAUUAAGUGUAGAUGCUUGAUUUCUAGGUCUGUUCGACC
Molecule: ribosomal RNA, 487 nt
Filed under: Halys shaista
Lineage: Eukaryota; Metazoa; Arthropoda; Insecta; Hemiptera; Pentatomidae
Description: partial large subunit ribosomal RNA
Rfam family: Bacterial large subunit ribosomal RNA
Source: RNAcentral